Molecule: small nucleolar RNA, 139 nt
Organism: Tachyglossus aculeatus (Australian echidna)
Lineage: Eukaryota; Metazoa; Chordata; Mammalia; Monotremata; Tachyglossidae
Source: RefSeq, a predicted model, not a curated record
AACCUCUCAGGAUUGUAUCUGGAGAGUUUCCAGUACUCUACCAGUCCUGACUAUAGGAGGGAGAGUCAAGCAGAGGUGAAUGCUAUUCCAUUCCUAGCUUGGGGGGUGGCUAAUGAGUGGAAGGCAAUCUGCUACAAGU